Molecule: long non-coding RNA, 1686 nt
Organism: Parus major (Great Tit)
Lineage: Eukaryota; Metazoa; Chordata; Aves; Passeriformes; Paridae
Source: Ensembl
CUCGGCUGUGUCUGCUCCACCGUCCCUCGCGUCUCAGGAAGCAGGAACGGGACCUGCGGCAGCUGCUGAAGGACCUCCCCGGAGGGUGGGGGGGCCUACUUGGGACCCCUCCCCUAGGAUGGGGUUACCCGUCCAGACAGGUCUUUUCUUCAGCACCAUAUCAGUUUACUAGGAUGCACAGUAGACGAGAACUCUCGCUGUUGCGGGAGCGGGGACACGGCACUGCCUGUGUCGGUACCGCCCCCGCCGGUGCCACCGGGCUUUCCGGGUCGCCCCUCCCGCCGCCUCUAUUGCAGAGGGCAGGCCGAGAGGGGGCACCCUGCUAGGAAGCGCCCCCCCGACUCCAGCCACUCGCCGCUACACGGCUCCAGCUGAGGCCGCACAGCACGGGGCGGCGCCGGUUCUUUUGUGACACUGUCAAGGUUCCCUCUAGGGCUAAACGGAUCGGGGGACGGGGGGGUUAUCUUGUGGUCUUCCUUCCACAGCCCUGGCACCCUUACGGCUGUCCAUUGGCGGCGCAGAAGGGACCGAUACGGCUGCUGCUGUGGUUGCUGGGCAACGAAAUUUUGCGUUUGUUUCAGGGAAGCUGUCGGUAUGCGGUGGCCCCGCUCCGCUCUGCAGCUCCUCGCGGCUGCCCGCGGCCUGCAGGGCUCCCCAUCUCUUCGGGCGCUGGCUGCUACGGCGUCUUUUAGGUUUUUCGAGCUCUGGCUUUGUCACGAUACGGGCUCCGGGGUUCUGGGUACCGGUAGCUCCCUACCGGCGCUUCUGGCUUUGGGCGCGCGCAGCUUCGCACCGGCAUUUCCGGCGUCGCGCUCCGCUCGACUUCCGGCUGCUGCCUGCGCGCCGCAGCUGGACGUGGGUGUGCCAGGCGCGUCCAUGGUGACGAGGAGCGUGUAACAAAGCCAUGGUUUUUGCAGCCGGCGCGCAGGCGGUCCCGGGCACUCCGAGGAUGCACCCGGCGGCGAUAGCGGUGGUUGAGGCGCUCGCGGCACGGGUGAACCCGCGCUUGGUGCAAACGCUGCCGGCGCUGCCGGAGGUGGGGGAGCUCCGAUGGAUAACGGCCGACCCCCGCCUCGGUUUCUCGCCCGUCUUGAGGGGCCGGUGGUGUGAGGCGCCCGCGGCCCCGUGCGCCAGCGGCUCUGCGCGUGGCACGAGCGGGCACGGGUGGCGCCGGGACGGCUCCGGCGGUGGGGCUGUCGGCUUCUCUUCUGACGCUGCGAAGCUUCUGGGAUCAGUUUGUUCCAGAUGCUCCUGUCUAUAAGAGCAGAGGUCAAGCUUUUCUCUUACCAGAUGGGACACAGAAAGAGACAACCUUACCUUUUCUGGCUAAUGAUAAACUGCAGGGAUUGUCCUCCCUGCCAGAUACCUAACCAACACUGUGAAAAAUGGGGAUGGAUCCCCAUGGCAUAACAUGAUCUUCUCAAGGCUGCUGGGAUCUCUGCCCCCUUUGAGCUCUGUGAAAACUCUGACCGCUCUCUUCCUCUUCAGCCCAUAGGAAAAAUUACUCGGGCUUGGAUUACCAGAGGAAUCCUCCACCUCUAAGCAUUUGGGAAAUGGGUGGAUUUGGCAACUCUGCCCUGGGAGAAUUGUUUCAGAUUAUGAAGAUUGAUAGAUUGUGUUUGUGGGACAGGUGCCCCUCUUUUCUGGGGUAUUUUAUUAUAUAAAUAAAAUCAUACACAAAAUACA